Molecule: ribosomal RNA, 438 nt
Filed under: uncultured bacterium
Lineage: Bacteria
Description: partial 16S ribosomal RNA
Rfam family: Bacterial small subunit ribosomal RNA
Source: RNAcentral
AGCGAACGCUGGCGGCAGGCUUAACACAUGCAAGUCGAGCGGGCAUCCUUGUGGUGUCAGCGGCAGACGGGUGAGUAACGCGUGGGAACGUGCCCUUCGGUUCGGAAUAACUCAGGGAAACUUGAGCUAAUACCGGAUACGUGCGAGAGCAGAAAGGUUUAUCUGCCGAAGGAUCGGCCCGCGUCUGAUUAGCUAGUUGGUGAGGUUACGGCUCACCAAGGCGACGAUCAGUAGCUGGUCUGAGAGGAUGAUCAGCCACACUGGGACUGAGACACGGCCCAGACUCCUACGGGAGGCAGCAGUGGGGAAUAUUGGACAAUGGGGGCAACCCUGAUCCAGCCAUGCCGCGUGAGUGGUGACGGCCUUAGGGUUGUAAAGCUCUUUUCUCCGGGACGAUAAUGACGGUACCGGAGGAAUAAGCCCCGGCUAACUUCGUGC